UGCAAAAUACUGAUCCCAUCCAGAACAUUCUGAACUAUACCAGGAGGUGGUAUUUGUUACUAUUCUGGUUUAGAUAGUAUAUGAAACACCCUUUGAGAAAAGCGGCCCUGGAGAACCAGUCCUUACCACUGAAAUUAGCAUUUAAUUUUUUUUUUUUUUUUGCAGUGCUGGGGAUUGAACUCAGUGCCUGGUGCAUGCUAGGCAAGUGAUUUAUCACUGAAUUACAUCCUAAGCUCAUCUAAAACUUUCCAUAACAUGUACCUACCAUGAUUUUUCCUCUUAUAACUGCAUUUUAAAGUUAAUUGAGACAUAACUCACAUACCAUACCAAUGACCCAUUUAAAGUGUAUAAUUCAAUUGUGUUUUAUUCUAUUCAUAGAAUUGUGCAACUAUCACUCCAAUAAAUCUUAGAACAUCUUCAUCACCUCUAAAAGAAUUAUUGUUUACUUUAGAAAUUUUCCCCCAACCCCCUAGGCAACUAUUGAUCAGCUUCUGUCUUCAUAGAUUUGCCUAAACCAUAGAUUUGCCUAAUUUCAUGCAAUUAGAAUCAUACAACAUAUGAUUUUUUGUGACUGACUUCUUUGACUUAGCAUAAUAUCUUCAAGGUUCAUCCACAUUGUAGCAUAUAUCAAUAUUUCAUUCCUCUUUAUGGGUGAAUAGUAUUCCUUUGAAUGGAUAUACCACAUAUCAUUUAUAUAUUCAUCAAUUAUGGACAUUUGAAUUAUAUUUACUUCUUGGUUGUUAUAAAUAAGCAACACUUAUGUACAUGUUUUUGUGUAGACAUAUGUUUUCAUCUGUCUUGGUCAUAAAUAAUACCUUCAAUCUCACCUGAAGUGGGGUUGCUCAGUCAUAUAAUAGAUCUAUGUUUAAUCUUUGGGGACACUGCCAGUGUGUGUUUUCCAAAGUGGUUACACCUUCUUUCACUCCCACCAGCAGUUUAUGAGGGUUCUGGUUUCUCCACAUUAUUCGUUAUUAUUUGACUUUUAAUUUCUAGCUAUCCUAGUGGAUACCUUGUUGUAGAAUUCAGUUACCCAAUUAAAGAAUACAAUCAAAUAGUUUUUGGAUUAUUACAUUAUUUUAUUGUGGUUUUGAUUUGCAUUUCCCUGGUGAAUAAUGAUGUUGAACCUCCUUUUUUGGUAUAUAUCAGCCACUUGUAUCUCUCCUUUGGAGAAAUCUCUCUUCACAUCUUGGCCUAUUUUCUCUUCCAGAUUUAUUGAAGUAUAAUUAAAAAAUAAAAAUUAUGUGUGCCUAUUUUAUCUACCUAUUUGUUUAAAAUUUUUUAUUGGUGUAUUAUAAUUAUACUUAAUGGUG
This 1310-nucleotide long non-coding RNA is filed under the name Marmota monax (woodchuck). Lineage: Eukaryota; Metazoa; Chordata; Mammalia; Rodentia; Sciuridae. The record is from RNAcentral.